This 506-nucleotide ribosomal RNA is filed under the name uncultured bacterium. RNAcentral's name for it is "bacterial SSU rRNA". It matches the Rfam family "Bacterial small subunit ribosomal RNA", at positions 26 to 518 of the family's 1533-position model. The record is from RNAcentral.
AGGAUGAACGCUAGCGACAGGCUUAACACAUCGCAAGUCGAGGGCAUCACGGGAGUAGCAAUACAACUGGUGGCGACCGGCGCACGGGUGAGUAACGCGUAGUGCAACCUACCUAUCAGGAGGGGAAUAACCCGGCGAAAUCGGACUAAUACCGCAUAAAACAGGGGGCACCGCAUGGUGAUAUUUGUUAAAGAAAUUCGCUGAUAGAUGGGCAUGCGUUCCAUUAGGUAGUUGGUGAGGUAACGGCUCACCAAGCCGACGAUGGAUAGGGGAACUGAGAGGUUGGUCCCCCACACUGGUACUGAGACACGGACCAGACUCCUACGGGAGGCAGCAGUGAGGAAUAUUGGUCAAUGGGCGGGAGCCUGAACCAGCCAAGUCGCGUGGAAAAGGAAGAAGGAUCUAUGGUUCGUAAACUUCUUUUGCAGGGGAAUAAAGUGCAGGACGUGUCCUGUUUUGUAUGUACCCUGAGAAUAAGGAUCGGCUAACUCCGUGCCAGCAGCCGC